Molecule: ribosomal RNA, 392 nt
Filed under: uncultured bacterium
Lineage: Bacteria
Description: partial 16S ribosomal RNA
Rfam family: Bacterial small subunit ribosomal RNA
Source: RNAcentral
AUACGGAGGAUGCGAGCGUUAUCCGGAUUUAUUGGGUUUAAAGGGAGCGUAGGCGGGAGCUUAAGUCAGCGGUUAAAUGGUGCGGCUCAACCGUGCCCUGCCGUUGAAACUGGGUUUCUUGAGAGUGCAAGAGGCGGAUGGAAUUCAUGGUGUAGCGGUGAAAUGCUUAGAUAUCAUGAAGAACUCCGAUUGCGAAGGCAGUCCGCUGGGGCACGUCUGACGCUGAUGCUCGAAGGUGCGGGAAUCAAACGGGAUUAGAUACCCUGGUAGUCCGCACGGUAAACGAUGAUUACCCGCUGUCGGCGGCAGACAGUCGGCGGCCAAGCGAAAGCGAUAAGCGCCCCACCUGGGGAGUACGGUCGCAAGGCUGAAACUCAAAUGAAUUGGCGGGG